This 253-nucleotide ribosomal RNA is filed under the name uncultured bacterium. RNAcentral's name for it is "partial 16S ribosomal RNA". It matches the Rfam family "Bacterial small subunit ribosomal RNA", at positions 524 to 776 of the family's 1533-position model. The record is from RNAcentral.
UACGUAGGGGGCAAGCGUUGUCCGGAAUCACUGGGCGUAAAGGGCGCGUAGGCGGCCUGAUAAGUAGGGGGUGAAAUCCUGUGGCUUAACUGCAGGGCUGCCUCCUAGACUGUUAGGCUCGAGCACGGUAGAGGCAGAUGGAAUUCCCGGUGUAGCGGUGGAAUGCGUAGAGAUCGGGAAGAACAUCGGUGGCGAAGGCGGUCUGCUGGGCCGUUGCUGACGCUGAGGCGCGACAGCGUGGGGAGCAAACAGG